UAUUUUAUAAAUUAAAUCACAGUUAGUUUAGGAAAUAAAAUUCAAAAGGGGCACCUGUUAUUAUUAGGAAACAUCGGUCAUAGGCCGAAGUUAAAAACAUUCAGCGCGAGUAGAUAUGGCCAAAGAAUUUGCACAAUGAAUGAUCGGCAGACUUGGGACCCAUGCCUGAAGAAACGAAAAGAAAACUCUCUCCUUAUUUAAUUAUAUGCAGUAAAAAGAAAUAGUAUGCUUUUAAUAAUAAUCAGGCAUACACUUUUCCUGCACACUUUCUCAUCUUUCUUUAAUUUCGUGCUUAGCAUGCUAAGCAACCCCAAAGUAUACAUAAAAUAAUAGAUUAGUGGACCAUUGAUUUGAUAUCUUAAGUUAUACGUUUAUCAUUGUUGAAAAAACGGAAGAUUUGACGCUGUCGCGGCCACAAACCCGCUGCAACAAACCAUUUGCAUUAAUUUAAUUUGGACCUGAAUUCUAAUUCUCUCCAGACAUGUUAAACUAAUCAAAGUUGCGUAAGAUAACGAAUACUAAUUAUUUAUCAAUAUUAAUUCUCAUAAAAAAAAAAGUAUCCGAAAAAACACUCUAUAUCAAGACGGCGCAAUGUUAUGCUACAUUUUAUAAUUCAAUGCAGAGUGUGCACAUUCUCUUUUAAGUAUUAGCGGACUUUCAUAAUUAAUUAAUUAAUUAAUUAAUUAAUACAUAUUUAAUUUGUUUGAAUCCACCAUUUUUUUUUUCCUUACAUGGGUAGUUAGGUGUUGCUUUGGAACAUCCUUUUUGUUUUUACACACUUAAUACGGUUAAUUUGUUUGAGAUUAGGAUUAGACAGUCAAUUAAUCAUUUUUAUUCAAACCAAACAAACGAUUCGAUAAUUCAAUUAUGAACGUUUUAAAUUUGAUCAAUUUUCUCGAUUUGAGAAUUUACAAAUAAACGAAACCCAACAGAAAAGCCAAAGAACCGCCCCCUAUGGUCACUGUUUAAAAUGAUAAAUUACUAAAUGCUAUAAUAAUAACAACAAUAAUAUUCACAAGGAAAAUUUUUUUGAUGGGAAAGCGAAGACUCGCGCGAUGUGGCUUGAUGGAUUUAAGCUUGAAAUUACGAGCACCGAUUGAUUUUCUUCAAAAUGGCCUGAGACUUUGCUAAAUGGGUCACGGGGGUUAGGUAGAAAUACAUGAAACACGGACACCCUCACAUGCCGUCGAUGGCCCACCAUUCUGACUCGUGCCUAAAAUUUCGGUCGUUUUCUCUCUCGUUCAUGUCAUUCGGCUUUUCCUUCAGCUCCACAAUCAUAGAAUUGUCAAAUUUAAUUUCUUUCUUCUUAUUGAAAGAAAAUUUACCCACGACAUUUUUCACAAGUACGUUUAGGGGUGGGCAUGGGUUGGUUUGGGUUGGAUUUUAAGUCAAUCCAAAUCAAACCAUAAAAAUUUGGAUCCAACCCAAACCAACCCAAAU
This 1440-nucleotide long non-coding RNA is filed under the name Citrus x clementina. Its description in RNAcentral is "Citrus clementina (C. clementina) long non-coding RNA (CCLE_LNC003841)". The record is from RNAcentral. Lineage: Eukaryota; Viridiplantae; Streptophyta; Magnoliopsida; Sapindales; Rutaceae.